GUGAAAGAGCUCCCUGUCCUGCCCCCUGUCCUAUAGAGCUCUCCCUUCCAUCCCUUAGAGAUCUCCCCUGCCCCUUAGUGGUCUCUCCUCUCCCCCCCACCUCCCUUAGUGGUCUCCUUUUCUCCCUGACUUUCCAUUAGUGGUCUCUCGUCUCCCCCUUAGUGGCCUCUGCUCUCCUCUGCCCCCCCUUUCCAUUAGUGGUCUCUCCUCUCCCCCCACCCUCCCCUAGUGGUCUAUCCUCCACCCCCCUCCCUUAGCGGUCUCUCCUCACACCCCUCCCCUAGUGGUCUCUCCACC
This is a non-coding RNA of Pelobates cultripes (western spadefoot toad), 297 nucleotides long. NCBI's taxonomy places the organism in Eukaryota, Metazoa, Chordata, Amphibia, Anura, Pelobatidae. The record is from the annotation of a GenBank genome assembly.